This 99-nucleotide ribosomal RNA is filed under the name Danio rerio (zebrafish). The record is from RNAcentral. Lineage: Eukaryota; Metazoa; Chordata; Actinopteri; Cypriniformes; Danionidae.
UGCCAUAGCCAUAUCACCCUGCAGCCCAAGCUAAGCAUGGCUGAGCCUGGUCAGUACCAGGAUGGGAGACCACAUGAGAAAACUUGGUUGCUGUUGGUU